GAUGGAGUGACGAUUUGCAAAAUUCAAGCACAACAGACAAAAUCACAGGUUUUCUCUCAGGAGUUCAUUUGUAUGCCGAUUAUCCUGCUGAACUGGGUCAUG
Molecule: non-coding RNA, 102 nt
Organism: Hordeum vulgare subsp. vulgare (domesticated barley)
Lineage: Eukaryota; Viridiplantae; Streptophyta; Magnoliopsida; Poales; Poaceae
Source: Rfam